Molecule: ribosomal RNA, 406 nt
Filed under: uncultured bacterium
Lineage: Bacteria
Description: partial 16S ribosomal RNA
Rfam family: Bacterial small subunit ribosomal RNA
Source: RNAcentral
AUUGAACGCUGGCGGCAGGCCUAACACAUGCAAGUCGAACGAGUGGCGGACGGGUGAGUAAUGUCUGGGAAACUGCCCGAUGGAGGGGGAUAACUACUGGAAACGGUAGCUAAUACCGCAUAACAUCGGAUGUGACCAGAUGGGAUUAGCUUGUAGGUGAGGUAACGGCUCACCUAGGCGACGAUCCAUAGCUGGUCUGAGAGGAUGACCAGCCACAAUGGCACGGAGACACGUUCCAGACUCCUACGUGAGGCAGCAGUGGGGAAUAUUGCACAAUGGGCGCAAGCCUGAUGCAGCCAUGCCGCGUGUAUGAAGAAGGCCUUCGGGUUGUAAAGUACUUUCAGCGGGGAGGCGUUACCCGCAGAAGAAGCACCGGCUAACUCCGUGCCAGCCGCCGCGGUAAUAC